AACGAACGCUGGCGGCAUGCCUAACACAUGCAAGUCGAACGAGACCUUCGGGUCUAGUGGCGCACGGGUGCGUAACGCGUGGGAAUCUACCCUUCGGUUCGGAAUAACUCAGGGAAACUUGAGCUAAUACCGGAUAAUGACGUAAGUCCAAAGAUUUAUCGCCGAAGGAUGAGCCCGCGUAAGAUUAGCUAGUUGGUGGGGUAAAGGCCUACCAAGGCUACGAUCUUUAGCUGGUCUGAGAGGAUGAUCAGCCACACUGGGACUGAGACACGGCCCAGACUCCUACGGGAGGCAGCAGUGGGGAAUAUUGGACAAUGGGCGAAAGCCUGAUCCAGCAAUGCCGCGUGAGUGAUGAAGGCCUUAGGGUUGUAAAGCUCUUUCGGUUGGGACGAAAAGGUUCGUGUUAACACCGCGAACUAAUGACGGUACCGACAGAAGAAG
Molecule: ribosomal RNA, 441 nt
Filed under: uncultured bacterium
Lineage: Bacteria
Description: bacterial SSU rRNA
Rfam family: Bacterial small subunit ribosomal RNA
Source: RNAcentral